CCGGCGUGCCCCGCGCGCCCGCCCGUCUGAGGGGGCCGGGAGCGCAGCGGGAGCGUGCCGGGAACACACCGGGAAUACCGGGCGUAUACCGGGAAUACGGGUCCUAUACCAGGAGUACGGGGGGCGCCGGGCACACACCGCGAAUACCGGGGACACCGCCGAUACCGGGCACAUACUGGGAAUAGUGGGGACACCGGGAAUACCGGGCACACACCGGGAAAAGCGGGCACCACGUCCAGUCCCUCCAGCCCCGGCCUCCCGCGGGCACAGGCACUGUAGCGUUUUGCAGGUGUCCCUCCCACGCCCCGCUCCCGGGACAGCCCUGCUGCAGGAGUGACCUUGUCCCACACACCUGGAGUCAGCGGGACCGCCCGUGUCCGUGUGUCGGGAGCGCCGCGAACCCGCCGCGUCCCUGCGCGUCUCCCCGGGCACCUCCACAGGGUGGGCGUGGGAUCAGUCCCGCUCUGCACCUGCAGCUGAACGUUUGCAUUACCUACAAACCCCACCGAGCUGCAUCUCCAAGCGUUCUGGUUUCGUGGAGCACUGUUCCCGCCGGGGUUCGACCCUCGUGCUCACCAGGGGCGCUGCCAGGACAGCCCUGGAGAACCGGGCGCUGCCGUCCAGCAGCACGGCCAAGCACCCGCGUCCAUCCGAGUCCUCCCCUCAGUCUGCCAGCUGAAUCCCUGCGGUCUCUGGGGGUUGGAGCGUCAGGGAUAGCAGUGCCCACACAGAGAUGCCCUGACAGAGGCGCCAGCCCAGCCCCUGAUGCUGGCCGGGAAUCCUGGAGUGGAGCAGCGGGAGCCCUGCAGCUCCAGGACAGGGACCGGUCUGAAAUGCUGACCCGAGGGAAGAGGGCCCGUGGCAGCAGAGCCCACUCCAGCCCCUGGUGCUGCUUCUCCCGCAGGAGGAUGGACUGCACUGCUGAGGUCACUCACACACUGCAGAGGAGUUUGGAGCUACAGGCUGAGGUAUGCAGGGAGCCUGGUCAAUGCCUGCUGGCAAGAUGACUUUAAAUCUUACAUGUCUUCUAAACAGCAGUAUAGUCCUGAACAGAAACACUUCCUCUUACAGGCAAAAUUAAUGCUCUUUUCCUAGUGUACAAUCUGGUUAGCUAACAAACCUGUACCAGCUUUAGUAAACUGACAGUCUAUUCCCCCAUUAAAACCAGCAACAUUUACCAUUUACUAACAAAUAGAACUAUUCAAAAGUGUAAAUGCCAUACCGAUGUUUCAUUUUUUAAAUUUUAGAAUAGUUAUUAUUACCGGAAAAUGAAAAUUCUCUUUUAGAUUAGAAACUAUUGUUUCUCAGCGACAUCAUGGAUGUUAUUGGUCUAACUAGAAGGCUGAGGAGUUGAAAUAGGUGUGUGCUGAGAGCCCCUGAAAAGGUCCAGGUUUCUUUCCAAUUGGAAUGUUGCAGGUUCCCCACAAGCAGGAGGUAGGUGGCUCAGAUGCCGUGUGAUUCACGGCCAUAAGAAUGCACCACCACAGCCCAUGCACAGAUACACACCCCAGUCAAAUUAUACAUUUGACACAUUCUGGAACUGAAACUUCUGGCAAGCAAUUACUCACGUUAGUGAUGCUGUGAUUCAGUGUGGUGCUGGCUGGUGAUGAAACCCUGCAGGGCUGCUCCUCGUGGCACAUGGCACCAGGGAACAGGAACCUCAGCCUGCCUCGUUAGCACUGCUUUGCCUCCAGAGAACAGCUAUAAUUAAUGCUAUUUUAUCUUAAGUGAUUGUGAAGAAGGACAACUUAGAGAUAUCACCUGUCACAGUAGGUAUUUUCUAGUAAAUUUACUGAAAAUUGUAAAUGGAAGAAAAAGUCUGAGAUUUAAAACUUUUGUCAGACAACAAAGCCACAGAUACAGCAUGAGGCAGAGCUUGCUGUGGCUUUUGGGGAGCUGCAGCUGCUGCCCAGGGAAGUGCAGCUUUGGGAACUAUAAAGGACAGAGGCAGUGAAAGGGUUUGUUCUGUGGUACACAAACACAAACACUGCUUUAGUCAAUCCCCUCUGGCUGGAGCUGUAAUUCUGAAUAGGGAGGCAAGGGGAAGAAAGAAGGAACAUCUGUCUGUUUUAUUCUUAACACUGAUACACUGUGAUGUCCUGUGCUUUGUUCUCUUGGGAACUCCUCUUCUUUGGGGCAAAUCAUUUCAUGUCUCUUGAAUACCCCUUAAAACAUUUCCAAUGCCAGCAUUAUUCAUUCAUGUUUAUGAAGUCUGUUUAUAUUUGUGCUUCAGUAAAUGUCACCACAAAAAUAAUACUAUCAAGUAUUGGAAAAAAUCUCUUCCCAAACCAGUGGUGAAGCUCUUGGUGACUGUGGUGGAAUUAACCACCCAACUGCUCUGCAGUGUUUAUAGCAGACAGUGAGUGUGCCUCCACACUCUGCUGGCUGCAGUGCUCCCUCAGACCUUUUGUGUACUUCUGUUAUUUGUUCUAAGCAUCAUUUAGUGCCCUCAGUGACCUCAUUAUGUUUAUAUCUAUAAUUAGAAAAAGAUACAUUUUAGGCUGUGACAUUUUUGGCUAGGUUAGAAAGCGCACUUGAUUAAAAUUGCUUUGGAAAGGAUACACUGUCCCUCACUCUCCACUGGAUUUUCUGUAUUCUUUCCAAAUAGGCAACUCUAAACAAAUUUCAUUAAACUAAUAUGUACUACCUUAAAAAUUUAUAAAAGACUGAGUUCUGUGAUUUUUAAGAGCUCUCUAUGAAAAAGGGAGUAGAACUUUACCUGAAGGUGAAAAAUCAGCAUCCAACCAUGACAUAAGAAUUUGCAGGCAAAACUUCCACUGGUGCCAGUUAGAGCUGCACUGAAAGGAGAUUAUAGUUACAUAAUAGAAUGUUUUAGUGAAUAGUUUCACAGUUCAAUAAAUUAUUAUAUGACUGAAAGAGACGUGGGGCAGAGUGGGCUCAGCAGAUGACAGGACAUAAUUUUCAGAGGGUUUACCCUUUAUUUUACACCUGUACUCCUUCUGGCUUAGCCAGGAAUGAUCCACAGCUGUAACUAGGAACAAGAUGUGAGACUGGAAUUAUAAAAAUUACAGUUGUGAGGUUCAGUUUGUUCUCAUUUUAAACCAUAGUGAUAUCCUUGGUUAGAAAUGGUGUUAAUAAAUAAUGACAAUCCUUAUUUGGAAUUGAGAAGGAUUUCUAAUUAAGAAUGAUUUAGUAAUUCUUAAAAACAUGGGAAUAAACUCCUCUUUGGUUCAUUUAGAGAGUCCCAGUAGGUUUCCAUUUGGCCUGGAGAGUUUUCUCUGUCCCCGUUUUCAGGCUUCGUUGCAUUAUCUGUAUUCACUGUUUUAUCUCCUAUGGCAGCUUCUUCAUUAUUAAGCAGGGUCUGAGAAGGAGAGAUUGGAUUAGAACAGUUUUGUCAUCUUAUGGCACAAGACAAUACAAAGUAUCUCCUAACAUUUCUGACAUACUGACAAAGCAGAUUUAUUGAUAGGAACUCUAUGGAACAUAUCUGAUCUGUACAGUCUUCUGGCACAUUGUAUUUGCAAAGCUACUCUGGAAUUUUUCAAAACUAACCAACCAACCAAUUUGCCUCCUUUAAGGACUUGUGCAGGAGGAUGUAACACAGCCAGGGGUGCUGACCCACCAGAGACUGAGAAGUGCAUAAAUAGGGAGCUUGAGUUUGCAAAGUUGUUUCUUCCCAUAGCAAUAUUUCCUAGGAUUCUUAUGUCUUAGGACUUAGAAUUCAGAGGCCUGAUGGUAUAUAAUGCAUCUGAAGAAAAUACUUUUUGUUUUCUUUUAAGUUGCCAGUGUAACCAUGAUUAAAAAAAACCAAACCCAAACCAAAACGGGCGGUGUUGGAAGGGCACUGACAAUGUGCCAGAACAAUGGCAUUAGGUAGGGCUGGUAAAAAGCAGUUGAAUUAUGAUAAGACAGUAAUGACUACUAUGGGAGUCUGGACUAUAAAAUUUUCAGCUGUAACAGUCAGUUCUAUAAAAUUCACCUUUGUGCAGCCACUUGCACAUCUGUAGGAACAGGCAUGUCCACAGCUGGGGAAUGCUGGCCCAGGAGCCUGGUCCUGAGCAGCUGUGUGUGCAAUUCUCACUGAUCACAGAGCUUCUGGUGCAGAAGCAGGAAGAAAUUAAGCAUCCCAGAAACUGCUAAGAGUUACUGUACUGAGUUUAAAAGAAAAAGUAAGUUACAAGGGAAAAAUGGAAUAAUUUGGGAAAAGUGGCUUCUUUUUUGGAGGGCCUGGUACUCCUGUACAGACUGCUGCAUUCUCCAUCCCCUACCUGUCUGUCUGCUGAUGCUCAGGAGACCUUCACCUUUUAUUUUCAGGUGAGCAGAGCUGGGCUCCACGUGCCAGCAGAGCUUUCAGUAGCAUUUUUUGAAUGCAGAGAGAUGCCUGUAGGCAAUUCCAGAAACACAGCUUUUAUUUUCCUUUUCGUGACAGAAAAAGACCAAACACUGAAAACAGUGAUGAUUGCAUUUUAAUAACCAAAAAAUCAAGUAAGUUUUAAAUGUCUAGAAACAGAUUCUCAGGGGAAAAUAAACCAAAAACAUUUCCACCUUCAACCUGAGACAUCAGCCUUCAGCGUGUGUAACCUGGCAGGUUCUGUGUGUUCACCAUUAUGUACUUGGUACAAACCACUUUUUUUAGUUCAGGGUGGUUUUCCCCCAAGGGAAUCUUUCCAUGCUCCAAGUUAAUUAUGUUUCUCUCCUCUCGAGUUUCUUUACUACCUAGAAAUUUAAGCUAAUGUAGUCUAUUUUAGGUUUUUAAAAGUGCUCAGUGCUAUGAUGACUAUAUACUCAUCUAAAAAAGAUUACAAAAAUCUGAAUACAGGGAAGUAGAGGACAGCUAGAGAUCAUCCUAGUUCUCUGUCCUGGUUUUGGCCAGGAGAGGGUUAAUUUUUAAUAUCAUUCCUAAACCACAACAUUCUCAUGGAACAUAAUAUCUCUGGGCUGACUAAAAUAGUUGUCCUGAAGUAGUCCUGUAUUAUGCUGUGCAGAAUGUAUACAUUUUAAUGAGGUGAGUUAAUCCCUAUAUUCUAGGAACAGACCUUGAUAGCAUUAUCUGUCAUUACUUACAAUACUGCAUGAAUUAGAGUGCACAGAGAUAUUCUGGGGCUGCCAGACCAGUUAAGGAAAAACCACCUUUUCCAGGGCACUAAAACUGAGAUGCUCACAGGCACUGGGCUCCAGCUGGGUUGGUAUCAGCAGGGACAGCCAUAACAGAGAGGGACACACGCUUCCCUAAGAUAACACUGAAUACUGAGCUUUUGUAGUAAAUCCCUUGCCCCUCAAUUUCCAUCAUCCCUGUACACACCUGGAAGUCUUCAAAGCCUGUUAGCAAACAGCAACAAGUGUUCCACUGACGCCUGAGAUGGGGAAAAUAAACCCCCAGCAGUGCUAAAUGUCACGCUUGGAAAUGGCAAUCGUCCGUGUUCAGCAGCCCUUUACCUGCUGCAGAUUAAAACAUAAUGUGGGUCCUUGCUGGGGGGAUGCAUGGCCAGGCAGAAAAACGGGAAGCACUGAGCUCAGGGAGAGCUGAGCCCGCUGAAUGCACUGGCAGGAGCCUGUGCAAACGAGCUGUCACCUAAUGACUUGGUAAUUCAAGCUCUGAUACAGUCAGGGAGCACAAGGGAGCCUCUUGUAGCCCAGCAUUUAGAGUCCUGAAACUAAAAAUCAGCUAAAAUUGCUGGAUUUUCUAUUUUAAUAUUAGUAGUCUGGUGUUUAUGUGAACUCUGAGACAUAAAAGGGAGCCAAGUGGAGUUACACAUGGCUGUAAAGCCAGAAUGGAUAAGUGGAGUCAAAUAAGCAAGCAGGAGCCUCUCUAGUGUGAACCUUGAGUGGUGAGGGCUCUGCAGUGCAGCAGUGGUGAGCCCCUGCUCCCAGGAGCAGGUACCAGCAGCACAUGGAGGGUGCUGGCAAUGCAGGCAGGUCAGCAGGGGCACUAAGUGCCAGGGCCAUGGCAAAGCCUUUUGUCCCAAGGGAGCAGUGGGGUGAUCUGAGAGACAAUCAGAGGGGGACUGUGGAGGGGAGUGAUGCUGCUCUGCAGGAGGAGGCUUCUGGAGGGCAAGGAAUUCCCUGCAGUGGCUGGUGGUGGUUGUGGUUUGGUGUGUGGGUUCCUGACUCACCCAUAAAUUCACAUGGAGAUUGGCAGUAAAUGGAUUGGUGGAGGCUCACUAGGUAAAGGGGAGUAAAGGCUGCUCAGGGGUAGUCAGAGGUGGUGCUCGUGCUGGUAAGGGCUCCCUAAAAAGCAGUAAGAGUUUCCUGAAACCUUCUCCAGCAUGGAUGCAGGAAAAUCAGUUGUUCAGCUGAAAAAAAGUUAAAAAUAAUGUGAAGACAGCAAUUUGAAUAGUUUAGCAUUCAUUCCUGCCUUAAUGAAUAUCUAGUAUACUUUCUUCCACCUUCUAUAAGCUUAUGGAAAGUCCUCCCUGAAGUCACCUGGAGCAGGUCCUUCAGUUUAAAGAAGGCAGUCAAACAGUGAACACAGCCCUGUUCAACCAGUGAUGGCAUUUCUGUGCAAAGAUUGCAAUUAGCAAAGUACAUUCUUUUCAGAUCAUUCGUAAUGGAUGUAAGAGCUUGACAUUAUCUACUUACUGUACCCCAAGACCAGCUUAAAACCACUGCAGAACCUCCUCAUGGCACGUUGGAAAUGGAGUAGAAAAUUUGAGGACUUGUAUUGAGUCCUUUAAGGUCUUGUAGUAAAAUUAAUUUUCGUAGCAGAACUUAAGUCAUUUCACUGAGUGCCACUGACAGCACUCUAGAAUCCUGUACUGAUUUAUUUUUGUGCAUUUCAUUCUUCAUUUUUGAUUGCCUUGUUUCUUGUGGAGUAAUUUACAUAUAUGCAAAAUGAAUGUUAAAAAAAUCAAAUAAAAAUCAUGACCUUUCUCACUAAGGUGAGAAGUGCUAAUAAUAGAACAGGGUGCAAAGCAAGUGGAGAAUCUUGCCUUCAGGCAUGAGUCUGAUUUCAUAGCAUUCUUAUCCAGUUCUUUGUUUUGAUGUUAUUUUUAAUUUAUCAGUAUUUUUACUAAUUAAAAAAAUACUCAGUAAACUACUCCAUUCAAAAAAUAUUGUUAAA
This is a long non-coding RNA of Pseudopipra pipra, 7021 nucleotides long. RefSeq lists it as uncharacterized. The record is from RefSeq and is a predicted model, not a curated record. Lineage: Eukaryota; Metazoa; Chordata; Aves; Passeriformes; Pipridae. The transcript has 2 exons.